Molecule: small nuclear RNA, 106 nt
Organism: Cervus hanglu yarkandensis (Yarkand deer)
Lineage: Eukaryota; Metazoa; Chordata; Mammalia; Artiodactyla; Cervidae
Source: Ensembl
GUGCUCUCUUCAGCAGCACCUGUACUAAACUUAGAAUGAUACAGAGAAGAUAAGCAUGACCCUUGUGUAAGGAUGACAAACAAAUUCAUGAACAUUACAUAUAUUG